GACGAACGCUGGCGGCGUGCUUAACACAUGCAAGUCGAACGAAGAGCGAUGGAAGCUUGCUUCUAUCAAUCUUAGUGGCGCACGGGUGAGUAACGCGUAAUCAACCUGCCCUUCAGAGGGGGACAACAGUUGGAAACGACUGCUAAUACCGCAUACGAUCUAAUCUCGGCAUCGAGGAUAGAUGAAAGGUGGCCUCUACAUGUAAGCUAUCACUGAAGGAGGGGAUUGCGUCUGAUUAGCUAGUUGGAGGGGUAACGGCCCACCAAGGCGAUGAUCAGUAGCCGGUCUGAGAGGAUGAACGGCCACAUUGGGACUGAGACACGGCCCAGACUCCUACGGGAGGCAGCAGUGGGGAAUCUUCCGCAAUGGACGAAAGUCUGACGGAGCAACGCCGCGGGAGUGAUGACGGCCUUCGGGUUGUAAAGCUCUGUUAAUCGGGACGAAAGGCCUUCUUGCGAAUAGUGAGAAGGAUUGACGGUACCGGAAUAGAAAGCCACGGCUAACUACGUG
This 510-nucleotide ribosomal RNA is filed under the name uncultured bacterium. Its description in RNAcentral is "partial 16S ribosomal RNA". It matches the Rfam family "Bacterial small subunit ribosomal RNA", at positions 28 to 507 of the family's 1533-position model. The record is from RNAcentral.